Molecule: ribosomal RNA, 461 nt
Filed under: uncultured bacterium
Lineage: Bacteria
Description: partial 16S ribosomal RNA
Rfam family: Bacterial small subunit ribosomal RNA
Source: RNAcentral
CCUACGGGAGGCAGCAGUGAGGAAUAUUGGUCAAUGGGCGGGAGCCUGAACCAGCCAAGUCGCGUGAGGGAAGACGGUCCAAUGGAUCGUAAACCUCUUUAGGCGGGGAGCAAUGCCGGGCACGCGUGCCCGGCUGGAUAGUACCCGCAGAAUAAGCAUCGGCUAACUCAGUGCCAGCAGCCGAGUGAAUACGUAGGAUCCGAGCGUUCUCCGGAUUUUUUGGGUUUAAGGGGUGAGUAGGCGGCCUUUUAAGUCAGCGGGGAAAGUCUGUGGAUCAACCAUAGCAUUGCCGUUGAAACGGGGAGGAUGGAGUUUGUUGGAAGCAGGCGGAAUGCGGGGGGUAGCGGUGAAAUGCUUAGAUAGCGCGCAGAACCCCGAUUGCGAAGGCAGCCUGCCAGGCCAUGACUGACGCUGAUGCACGAAAGCGUGGGGAUCAAACAGGAUUAGAUACCCUUGUAGUC